GUGACCCGAAAUAGUAAAAUGGUUUUCGGAUGAUAACUCAAGAACGCAUACGCUUAGGAUCAUGAAACUUCAUGGGUAGAUUGAUCAUGACUCGCAGAUGACCCCUAUUGAUUUUGAGGUCACUAGGUCAAAGGUCAAGGUCACGGUGACCCGAAAUAGUAAAAUAGUUUCCGGAUGAUAACUCAAGAACGCAUACGCCUAGGAUCAUGAAACUUCAUUGGUAGAUUGAUCAUGACUCGCAGAUGACCCCUAUCAAUUUUGAGGUCACUAGGUCAAAGGUCAAGGUCACGGUGACCCGAAAUAGUAAAAUGGUUUCCGGAUGAUAACUCAAGAACGCAUACGCCUAGGAUCAUGAAACUUCAUAGGUAGA
Long non-coding RNA from Dreissena polymorpha, 370 nucleotides. RefSeq lists it as uncharacterized. Lineage: Eukaryota; Metazoa; Mollusca; Bivalvia; Myida; Dreissenidae. The transcript has 2 exons. The record is from RefSeq and is a predicted model, not a curated record.